UGCUGAUUCUUUGAGGUUUAUCUUAACCAGC
RNAcentral lists this non-coding RNA (31 nucleotides) under Rattus norvegicus (Norway rat). Lineage: Eukaryota; Metazoa; Chordata; Mammalia; Rodentia; Muridae. The record is from RNAcentral.